AUUGAACGCUGGCGGCAGGCCUAACACAUGCAAGUCGAACGGUAACAGGAAGAAGCUUGCUUCUUUGCUGACGAGUGGCGGACGGGUGAGUAAUGUCUGGGAAACUGCCUGAUGGAGGGGGAUAACUACUGGAAACGGUAGCUAAUACCGCAUAACGUCGCAAGACCAAAGAGGGGGACCUUCGGGCCUCUUGCCAUCGGAUGUGCCCAGAUGGGAUUAGCUAGUAGGUGGGGUAACGGCUCACCUAGGCGACGAUCCCUAGCUGGUCUGAGAGGAUGACCAGCCACACUGGAACUGAGACACGGUCCAGACUCCUACGGGAGGCAGCAGUGGGGAAUAUUGCACAAUGGGCGCAAGCCUGAUGCAGCCAUGCCGCGUGUAUGAAGAAGGCCUUCGGGUUGUAAAGUACUUUCAGCGGGGAGGAAGGGAGUAAAGUUAAUACCUUUGCUCAUUGACGUUACCCGCAGAAGAAGCACCGGCUAACUCCGUGCCAGCAGCCCGCGGUAAUACGGAGGGUGCAAGCGUUAAUCCGAAUUACUGGGCGUAAAGCGCACGCAGGCGGUUUGUUAAGUCAGAUGUGAAAUCCCCGGGCUCAACCUGGGAACUGCAUCUGAUACUGGCAAGCUUGAGUCUCGUAGAGGGGGGUAGAAUUCCAGGUGUAGCGGUGAAAUGCGUAGAGAUCUGGAGGAAUACCGGUGGCGAAGGCGGCCCCCUGGACGAAGACUGACGCUCAGGUGCGAAAGCGUGGGGAGCAAACAGGAUUAGAUACCCUGGUAGUCCACGCCGUAAACGAUGUCGACUUGGAGGUUGUGCCCUUGAGGCGUGGCUUCCGGAGCUAACGCGUUAAGUCGACCGCCUGGGGAGUACGGCCGCAAGGUUAAAACUCAAAUGAAUUGACGGGGGCCCGCACAAGCGGUGGAGCAUGUGGUUUAAUUCGAUGCAACGCGAAGAACCUUACCUGGUCUUGACAUCCACGGAAGUUUUCAGAGAUGAGAAUGUGCCUUCGGGAACCGUGAGACAGGUGCUGCAUGGCUGUCGUCAGCUCGUGUUGUGAAAUGUUGGGUUAAGUCCCGCAACGAGCGCAACCCUUAUCCUUUGUUGCCAGCGGUCCGGCCGGGAACUCAAAGGAGACUGUUAGUGAUAAACUGGAGGAAGGUGGGGAUGACGUCAAGUCAUCAUGGCCCUUACGACCAGGGCUACACACGUGCUACAAUGGCGCAUACAAAGAGAAGCGACCUCGCGAGAGCAAGCGGACCUCAUAAAGUGCGUCGUAGUCCGGAUUGGAGUCUGCAACUCGACUCCAUGAAGUCGGAAUCGCUAGUAAUCGUGGAUCAGAAUGCCACGGUGAAUACGUUCCCGGGCCU
This 1364-nucleotide ribosomal RNA is filed under the name uncultured bacterium. RNAcentral describes it as "bacterial SSU rRNA". It matches the Rfam family "Bacterial small subunit ribosomal RNA", at positions 28 to 1381 of the family's 1533-position model. The record is from RNAcentral.